Molecule: long non-coding RNA, 1087 nt
Organism: Gallus gallus (chicken)
Lineage: Eukaryota; Metazoa; Chordata; Aves; Galliformes; Phasianidae
Source: Ensembl
UUUGAUUAUUCAGUGCUGAUUCUUUCUCUCCUUUCCCAAAAUCCAUCCAGAUUCUCUUUGUUCUCAAGGCAGGACCAUUCCAGAGGCCGUGUAGGUCAACCCCUUUUGUACUACACUCAAGCCAUGUCCAUGUCUCAUAACACAUCAUUUGGAGGUUGAUCUGUUGACCUGGAACUUUGGCUGGUCAGUGUUAGACUGACUUACCUGCAUCUUACAUCAAAAUGAAAACUAUGAUUGCAGAACAACAUCUGAGUCUAUGCGAAGAUUACUGAGACGUGGGCAGUGAGGUAGGAGUUUGCUCUUGCAAAGGACAAAGAUAAAACAGCUGCCAAAGGACAAUUUAGUGCCCAAAGCCAGCCCACAGGUGCAGGCAAUGCUGCAUCUUUUAAACAUUUCUGAUGCAUCUUGCUACAUUGAUCUGCACCUCACAAAUAUGUUCUCUUGCAUUAUGUCAGAACUGACAUGACAUGAGGUAAUUGGAUUUGAUAUGACAUAAUCCACCCGUAACACAACAUGUGAUAGAUGAAAGGACUUUCCCUGAGGCAAGCAGAAGCCAGCUGGUACUGUACAACACCUGCAGAAAGAAACGGGUUUUAAUAAUCUCCCCCUGCCUGACUGGGGUGGCAAGUUGUACAAUCUAUGCACAACCCUAAUUGGUAACUCAGAACGUUUAAUUGUUUUUCAGAAUAACACUUCAUGUUUCAUUGGGUUGGAAGCAAAAUGAGAGUUCAGGAUUUCAUAUCAGAGACGCAUGCAUAAAAGAGAAAAGAAAUCCAAGCUCAGGCUUCCCUUCCAACCACAGGGACGUGUCUACAAGGAGUGACAGCCUGCUCAACACUAUCCCUUCAGGCAGAUGAAGGCCAUUUAUUACUGUUCAUCGUAUUUCACGAGAACCUAGGAGCCUCCACCAGUUUUAGAGGGCCUUGCUCAAGACUCAGAAGUGCAGAACAGAUAAAAUUGGAGGAAUGCUAUUACCUAAGCUUUCAAAUAAUGCAUUAUCUUUUUCAAUUUUGUGAAAUGUAUACCUUUUGGUUUAAACUAAAUCAUGUUUUUAUUCAUGUUAUCUGGCCAAAAUAAAGAACCUCAG